AGCGAACGCUGGCGGCAGGCUUAACACAUGCAAGCCGAGCGGGCACUUCGGUGUCAGCGGCAGACGGGUGAGUAACACGUGGGAACGUACCCUUUGGUUCGGAAUAACGCUGGGAAACUAGCGCUAAUACCGGAUACGCCCUUUUGGGGAAAGGCUUGCUGCCGAAGGAUCGGCCCGCGUCUGAUUAGCUAGUUGGUGGGGUAAUGGCCUACCAAGGCGACGAUCAGUAGCUGGUCUGAGAGGAUGAUCAGCCACACUGGGACUGAGACACGGCCCAGACUCCUACGGGAGGCAGCAGUGGGGAAUAUUGGACAAUGGGCGCAAGCCUGAUCCAGCCAUGCCGCGUGAGUGAUGAAGGCCUUAGGGUUGUAAAGCUCUUUUGUCCGGGACGAUAAUGACGGUACCGGAAGAAUAAGCCCCGGCUAACUUCGUG
Molecule: ribosomal RNA, 433 nt
Filed under: uncultured bacterium
Lineage: Bacteria
Description: partial 16S ribosomal RNA
Rfam family: Bacterial small subunit ribosomal RNA
Source: RNAcentral